AUACGGAGGGUGCAAGCGUUAUUCGGAAUCACUGGGCGUAAAGGGUGCGUAGGCGGUUUGAUAAGUCUGAUGUGAAAUCCUAUGGCUCAACCAUAGAACUGCAUUGGAAACUGUCAGACUAGAAUACUGAAGGGGCAGAUGGAAUUAGUGGUGUAGGGGUAAAAUCCGUAGAUAUCACUAGGAAUACCGAAAGCGAAAGCGAUCUGCUGGGAAGUUAUUGACGCUGGGGCACGAAAGCGUGGGGAGCAAACGGGAUUAGAAACCCUAGUAGUCC
RNAcentral lists this ribosomal RNA (274 nucleotides) under uncultured bacterium. RNAcentral's name for it is "partial 16S ribosomal RNA". It matches the Rfam family "Bacterial small subunit ribosomal RNA", at positions 523 to 796 of the family's 1533-position model. The record is from RNAcentral.